RNAcentral lists this ribosomal RNA (392 nucleotides) under uncultured bacterium. RNAcentral describes it as "bacterial SSU rRNA". It matches the Rfam family "Bacterial small subunit ribosomal RNA", at positions 32 to 451 of the family's 1533-position model. The record is from RNAcentral.
CACAACGCUGGCGGCAUCUUACGCUUAACAGUCGAACGAGAUCUUCGGAUCUAGUGGCGCACGGGUGAGUACGGAACCUACCAUUCUGUACGGAAUAACGCUUGGAAACGAGCGCUAAUACCGUAUACGCCCUGUGGGGGAAAGGUCCGCCGCAGAAUGAGGGGCCCGCGUCCGAUUAGUUUGUUGGUAAGGUAACGGCUUACCAAGACUACGAUCGGUAGCUGGUCUGAGAGUGAUGAUCAGCCACACUGGGACUGAGACACGGCCCAGACUCCUACGGGAAGCAGCAGUGGGGAAUAUUUGGACCAAUGGGGGGGCAACCCUGAUCCAGCAAUGCCCGGUGUUUUAAUGAAGGCCCUAGGGUUUGUACAAGCACUUUCCAUUGGUGAAGA